This is a non-coding RNA of Caenorhabditis brenneri, 72 nucleotides long. The record is from the annotation of a GenBank genome assembly. Lineage: Eukaryota; Metazoa; Nematoda; Chromadorea; Rhabditida; Rhabditidae.
GCAUGCGUGGUGUAGUGGUUAACACUGUUGUUUUAUGAUUUUUCGGCGCGGGUUCGAUUCCGAUGGCCGUCA